Molecule: long non-coding RNA, 220 nt
Organism: Lepus europaeus (European hare)
Lineage: Eukaryota; Metazoa; Chordata; Mammalia; Lagomorpha; Leporidae
Exons: 3
Source: RefSeq, a predicted model, not a curated record
GUUUCAAUCCUCUGCCAUCUCUCUGCUCCCUGGAGUCAGCCCAAGGAAGAGAUAUCCUAUCGACGGCAGUGGAAUGGUUCCCCCUGCUAAACCUGAACAGUGCUUUCCUGCUUCCUUAAAGGUUUCAAAAAUGUCCAGCUGAGUGAAUUGGAAUAAAAGAGGGUACCACAGAAUGCAAAAUCCACCCAGAUCACCCUCUGAUGCUGACAAGACCUGAAAA